GGGGGUGUAGCUCAGCCGGUAGAGCAACAGCUUUUUAAGCUGUGGGUCGUGGGUUCGAAUCCCACCGCCCUCA
RNAcentral lists this transfer RNA (73 nucleotides) under Candidatus Brocadiia bacterium. RNAcentral's name for it is "tRNA-Lys". It matches the Rfam family "tRNA". From Rfam's summary of the family: Transfer RNA (tRNA) molecules are approximately 80 nucleotides in length. Their secondary structure includes four short double-helical elements and three loops (D, anti-codon, and T loops). The record is from RNAcentral. Lineage: Bacteria; Pseudomonadati; Planctomycetota; Candidatus Brocadiia.